AGAGUUUGAUCCUGGCUCAGAUUGAACGCUGGCGGUAUGCUUUACACAUGCAAGUCGAACGGAUUUGGGGGCUUGCUCCCAAGUUAGUGGCGAACGGGUGAGUAAUAUAUCGGAACAUAUCCGGAAGUGGGGGAUAACGUAGCGAAAGUUACGCUAAUACCGCAUAUGCCCUGAGGGGGAAAGGGGGGGAUCGCAAGACCUCUCGCUUUCGGAGUGGCCGAUAUCGGAUUAGCUAGAUGGUGAGGUAAUGGCUCACCAUGGCGACGAUCCGUAGCUGGUCUGAGAGGACGACCAGCCACACUGGAACUGAGACACGGUCCAGACUCCUACGGGAGGCAGCAGUGGGGAAUUUUGGACAAUGGGCGCAAGCCUGAUCCAGCCAUACCGCGUGAGUGAAGAAGGCCUUCAGGUUGUAGAGCUCUUUCAGCCGGAAAGAAAUCGCAUUCCUUAAUACGGGGUGUGGAUGACGGUACCGGAAGAAGAAGCACCGGCUAACUACGUGCCAGCCGCCGCGGU
This 516-nucleotide ribosomal RNA is filed under the name uncultured bacterium. RNAcentral's name for it is "bacterial SSU rRNA". It matches the Rfam family "Bacterial small subunit ribosomal RNA", at positions 8 to 521 of the family's 1533-position model. The record is from RNAcentral.